This is a long non-coding RNA of Hippopotamus amphibius kiboko, 707 nucleotides long. RefSeq lists it as uncharacterized. The transcript has 3 exons. The record is from RefSeq and is a predicted model, not a curated record. Lineage: Eukaryota; Metazoa; Chordata; Mammalia; Artiodactyla; Hippopotamidae.
GGCGGGUCCAUCCAAGCCUCCACAAUGAGAUUCAUGAAGAAUCAAGAAAGUAUUCCAGAGAGAUAUGCCGGCUUUUCCAACAUUUGUCAGAGGGUGGACUCCUCAUGCCUCACUCAGCAACCACAGUUACUGAAAGGCAGGUCUUACUGACGCUCCGAGAGCUGAAAAUGUGAGAAGGUGAUGCAACUGACCAGAAUACGCCUUGCCAGCAGGACACAAGACUUUCCAAUCACGUCUGGCUUAUCUUCUGAAUCAGGAAAACAAAUGCCAUCUCUUACCAGGGACACAGCAAAAAUAGAAUGAUUGAUGUGACUUGGCACCUACUGCGCUGAAUGCCUGAAGUGGAAGCUGUGGAUCAGAGGCAGACCCAGGGUGGCUGAUCAUUUGUAUACUGAGUUCAUAACCAGACAGCCAUUGUUCUGAUGCAAACAGAGAGGCUGUGUAUGUACUGAAACUGAAAUACAGGAGAACACGAUCUGGGCAAGGAUUAAACAACAUUGUAUCCUCUCUUCCACUGUGACUUCUGGACAUCACAGUACCUCCAUCACAAAAGUACAUCUACGCAGGUACUUCAGCCGUGGGCACUCUGGUUUUCACGUCUGGUUCUGUAGAUAAAAUUAGGAGUUAUAGAUAAUAGGCAGAUGCAUAAUGUUUCAAUGAUAUGGGCAUGUAUAUGGCUUAUGUCUCUAUUAAGUCCGUUAUCUACA